Long non-coding RNA from Gallus gallus (chicken), 8682 nucleotides. RefSeq lists it as uncharacterized. Lineage: Eukaryota; Metazoa; Chordata; Aves; Galliformes; Phasianidae. The transcript is spliced from 2 exons. The record is from RefSeq and is a predicted model, not a curated record.
CCCGCCCUCCCCGCGAGUGUCGCCCUGGCGGCGGAAAGAGACGCGGACCGACGGGAAGGCGUUUGCGUAUAGUCGUUUUAAUGAGGGAUGCGUUUAAAACUGCCAAGCGGGUAGCGUCGCGCUCGCAAAGCGGCCGGCUGUGCAGCGGGCGGGCCGGGCGCGGCAGCUCCUCACAGCCGGCAGCCUCUGAUCCACGCCUGGACGUCGGUGCCCUUGCAGCGGUUGCGCCAGGCGACCCUGGGCGGAGGGAGACGGAGCGACUUUCAUAGCCAGAACUGUGCUGUCACCAACAUGGAAGAAAUGAAGAUCUUCGCUAACUCCUGCUUUGCAAUUCAGAAUUAUUAUUUCCAAAUACCAGUAAAGAAAUGGGUGACUCCAUGGUGGUCAAACAGAAAUAUUCCCAGCUAGUUCCUCAUUCUCCUGCCAGUAGUCAUAGUCGUCUGCCAACUGCAGAUGUACCAUAAUUAAGAAGCUUAAGAAGAAGAUCCUUCCUGGAAGUCCUAUAAAAAUGAACUGUUGUUUCAGUGUGGGAGUGUGCAGCACCUGCUCAAACAGGAGCUGGAUUCCUUCAGCGGCAGUGGUUAUUCACUUUCAUGAUGGGCAAGGUGUUUCCUCCUGCUGCACCUUGAAGACAUUUGUUCCUGUUUCCGAGGGUUCUGACUAGUACUGCCUCGGCCAGGAACAGCUUUCAAAAGCUGCAUUCAGAGAAGCCUGAAAUUGUAUACACAGUUUCUGAUUCUCCUUCAGACCCUGAGAUUAUGAACAUUUGGGACUGCAUCCUUUAUUUUGCAAGUGUGACAACUCCUCCCAUGCCAAGAAGAGCACUUUUCUUUUUCUCUGGUAUUCAAAAUGUUCCUGACAGCAGGAAGAAAAAAUAACAAAGGCAAUUCUACAUUCAUACACACACACCCUCCUAAGUAGCAUGCAUGAUCAUUGAAGGAAGAUCUGGCCUUGGAGCUGAGGGUACAUUCCCACUAUGUGUUCCCUCCUGAUCCGGAGGUUCUGACUUGAAAUCAUAGAAAAAUAAAGAUGUCAGUGACCACAUUUAAGCAUCCGGGAGGCAUCAGUCAGGCCAAAGGUUUGAUGAUGUGAAGAAGAUGAGCAACUUUCCUCAGCUUGGGAUGAUCCUUCUGAUGGGCUGGUGAAGGCCGAGGUGAUGCUAAUGAGCAGGCAGCAUGGGACCCACUGUUACUGCCCCAGCAUCCGUCAGCUGGGAGCAUCCCUCAUCUUGGUGUGCGAGUGCCAUCGCUGUCUGGAUAGCAGAGCACCUACAGCAGCAAGUGUUACUUUGCUGUCUCCUAUUUUAGCAUCUUACCAUAGUAAACAGCAAGAACUGCCAUCAUGAUUCUCCACGCAAUUCACCAGAAAAGUUACCUAUGACUUAUCUUACAAACCAAGGACUGCAAGGUGGCCUUGGCAGACAGCCUCUCUGGCUUGGGGCGUGCCUGUAUAAAUCAGGCAAAACUGUCUGACACAGCUUUAUUAUUUCUUAAUUCUAUUGAGCUACACAACCCUUCAGCUGUCUCUCCCUUGAUGGCAGCCUGCCCCACAAGUUCUUGUUUGGGCUUCUCACAUUUUGUUUAUUGGCUGAAGAGAAGUAAUAAAAAAGGAAUCUCUUUUCUUGUGAUGGGCAGCUGGGCAGAUUGCCAAGGUUAUAACGGAAGUAUGACAGUAAAACCAUGUGAAGGACACAGAGACACUGUGGAAAUCCCAGCAAAAUAUGUGCGUGUCUGUGUUAUGUCAAAGUAAGUACAUAAUAGAAGUAAUAAAAUGCAUAAACUUGUCAGUGACGAAGUUCUAGUAAUUUAUGGCUCACCUCAAACAAGAAGAACUGGUAAGAAUAUUGAAUGGCAGAAAGCUUUCAGCUAGAUGUUCUUUGCAAGACUGCUGAAAAUCCUGUUCCAGUGGCAUCAACAGAACAAGAUGACACUGAAGAAUUAAAUGGCUGCUGAAGCAAACACAAAAAUAGGCCUGUAUUUGUCAAAGAUACAAGCUGGGAAAGGAUGGAGGACAAGGAAGUUGUACAGGAACAACUGGGUGAUCUAGAAAAUGGUGCAGUCAGAACAGAGCAGAGCUGAAGCACAUCAGAACCCCCAGGGUCUCUGCAGAUACAAAAGCUUACCCCAAAAGGUAACUGAUCCCAAAUACAGGAUUUAUGGGAGGCCGCAGCUUGGAAGGUACUUGCAGCAAAUUGACUAUGUGCUAAUACUGCCAUGAAAACCCUACUGAGAUGGCACUAGGAAUUCUGCAUGUAUUUUUGUUAGAGGAAUACAUAUUCUGUCCUGUUACAGGAAACAUGAACUGAAAUGUAUAUAUGCAAGAAUAGGGCAGGUAGGUGUAACACAGUCUGUCCUAAAGAAUGGAAGUCUCCUGAAACAAGCUUACAGAAGUGAGGGCAGAAGUAUUAACCAGGAAGUGUGGGUUCUGGUGGAUGAAAAGCUUGACACAAAUCAGCAAGGGGUCUGGGAGCCUGAAAGGCCAACAGUACCCUGGGCUGCAUCAAAACAGGGGCAGCCAGCAGGGAGGGGUAAGCGAUUGUCCCCAUCUGCUCUGCCUUUGUAAGGCCCCAUCUGAAGUACUGCAUCCAGACCUGGGGCUCCACAAGAAAGCCGUGGAACUGUUGGAAUGGGUCCAGAGGAGGGCCACUAAGAUGAUCUCCUACGAAGACAGGCUGAAGGAGCUGGGCUUGUUCAGCCUGGAGAAGAGAAGGCUGUGGGGAGACCUCACUGCAGCCUUCCAGUACUUCCUGCUUAUAAGCAGGAGGGAGACCAAUACACAUUUCUUGGACAGAUAGCAACAGGAAAAAGAGGAAUGGCUUUAAACUAAAAGAGAAGAGAUUUAGAUUAGAUGUUAAAAGAGAAUUCUUUACCCAGAGAGUGGUGAGGCCCUGGCACAGGCUGCCCAGAGAAGCUGUGGGUGCCCCAUCCCUGGAGGUGCUCAAGGCCAGGCUGGAUGGGGCCCUGGGCAGCCUGAGCCAGUGGGUGGCAAGCAGCCCAUGGCAGAGGGUUGGAAAUGGAUGAUGUUUAAGGCCCCUUCCAAUCCAAACCAUUCUAUGAUUCUAGUUGUUCUGAAUGCCUUAAGGGGUUAAACACAGUGGGGAAGGAAAUAACUAUAUAGAGAACAAUAUUGGUACCAGGUCAAAUUAACGUAAUGUGGCCUAGAAAAAAUUCAGGCUGCAUCUUUGGUUUGUAACCGUGGGAGCAGUGAAAUAGUGAGAUAGCCUUCCAGGAGGAACAGCAGGAACAAAAACCCCAGAUAGACCCUAUUUGGUCUUAAGAUGAGUCUCAGAAGGGGUUAUAAGAUGCGGUUAGCUGUCCCAGCAGGAGACUGAACUUCUUACCCCAGGCUGUAUUCUACAGCUCUCAGCAUUUUCCUGUGGCCUUGCAAGGAAGAACGUAAAGCUAGAAGACCCUCUUCAUCCCACCAGCCUCCUUCACCUUUAAUUUGCUGUGUUGGAUGUGAAUUGUCAUAGAGAAGACUGAUACGGAAGAACGAAAAAUAAAUAAGCUUCCAUAUUUUUUUAGACCUCACACAAAGAUUUGAUCACCACGAGAAUCCUACAGUAAUGGAUUCAUUGUUUGAACGUUCACUUGACUGGGAUUACCAGCAUGGAGACAUGCUUAGGAGAAUGAGGAGAGAAGGAAAAAAGAAGUGGCCUAACUAGAAAAACUGUCACCAAACACACGCUCUACGCAUUCUGAAACAAAGGAAAUUGCACCAAGUGCUGUCAUUUCCAAAGCAGUUGCCCUCAGAGUCACAAGCAGGCCGUGGCAUAGUGCCAGCAGGGGCCGGGGGGGAAACCACUGCCAGAACAAAAGCAGAAUGAAAAUAAUCUGCAUCAUGAGAUGAUGGGGUUGUUGGAGCUGGACUGUGUUAUGCAGGCUCGCCGCUGCAGCGGAGGAUGGGGCUGUGGAUUACCUGGAGAUUGGCAGCUCUUAUCCUGAGACAGGAGUGGUAGGAAAUGCAAGUGCUGAAAUAAGUGGGGGUAUACCAGAAACCAAAAACUACUACACAUUCAUUCCAGAAUUGUGGUUUUAAAUUUGCCAACUUUUUCAAGUUAAAAAGUGAUGGGAACGUUUUUAUUGUUCUUAAGGGGAUUCCCUAUAAUCUCAGAGGAGUUGAUCUCACAUGAGCUGUGCGCGAGAAUUCCCACUCAGGCUUCUUCCAACCCCAAAAGAACCAAAUGGGGUGGGGAAGAGGUGGCUGACCCCACGUGUUAAGCACAGCUGGGGGUAGCACAAACCUGGCUGCGCUGUGCCACCAUCCCUCGUGCUGGCCCUGCUGGUUAUAGUGGCUAUUCAUUUAAUUUGGUGGUAAGGCCUUUUUGUUUUUGACAGCUUGCCAGUUCUCUAAAUAAAAGACUUGAGUUUAUAUAAGCUUUCCUUUGUUCCUCGGUAAUACACCCAACCCCCUCUCAUUUCCAAAUCUAAGCCAGUUAUUGACAUAAUUAAAAACCAAAAUGCUGGAAGAGGUGAUAACGUAGACAUGUUUUAUUUCCAAAUUCUUUUUUUCUUUCCAAACCGCUGAAUGGAACAGUCAGGGGGUAACGUAAAACCAGGAGGGCACAGUAGGGAUCCCACAUGACAGGAAAAGAAAGAAUUUUUGUGAAGCAUUGUCCCAUUACUGCUGUGAGAGAAACCCCAAGGAAAUGGCACUGCACUCCAGCUGAGAUGGCAGGCAGCCAGCGGGGAGCUUCAGCUGCUAUGGAGAACUUAUACUUACGCAGAGCUCAGAAUCGUUUUUCUUGUAGAGAAAAAUGGUACUCGCUCACCUGGUUUUAUGGCUGCUAAUAAAACACUGACCUUCUCCGACCUCAUUUGAAGUAGUUUGUGUAUUUAAAAAAAAUGUCCACCACACAAUUCAUGCAUUAUUUCCAUCAGUUUCUUCGGCAACACUCCGUUGGUUGUUCUGAAUCGGUCUCCAUUUUUACUACUCCUCCAUCAGUGGUCUUUGAGAAAGUGGGAGCUGCCGACCUACAUGCUGCAGAGUCCAGACUAAAUAACUUAGGAAUGCGAGAAUGCAGUUUUAAUUACAUUCGUACUCCAAUUAAUGUUUUGAGGUUGGAGCCCAAGUUCCUUACAGCUUGAUCCAUGAAUGAGGAUCCUGUUUGGGAUGAAUGGUGCCCGUUUUAAUCCCCUUUCACCGGGGCAGAGCUGUAACACACCCAGGCAGAGCCACAUACUUUCUAAGCUUGCAGUGGGGGUGGCUGUUUGUCUGUCAGAAAUAAACUGACUGCCAAGAAGGAAAAGAAGUAGCAGGGAACCUAGGGAAUCUGCUUUAAGCACCAGUUCCACCAUCAGUUGCAAAAUAACUGCAACUCCGCAGAGCUCCUUGCUUUCAGAGGCAAACGCUGCCCGUUCCUCAGAGAAACCCACCCACCUUUGGCCAUUAUUCAGAGGUGUGUUCAUCAGAGAACUGCGGCCAACAUCUUCUCUUCCUUCUCUUUCACUCUAAGAGCAUUCACUCUAAGAGUAGGAAGACACAAACUUGAGAGCAGCGCACUCCAAAGAUAUUUGAAAUAAUGCCCAGAAUGUAAGGCAGGAAGACUAUUUCGUGAGGUGUCAAAGCCAGGAGAAAAUCCUUACUUAGCAGGAAAAAGGGAAAGAAGCAACUGCCAUCUUCUCAAACUUGGGGCGGCUGGGGAUUAUCACAUCUGUUUCUUCUGACCAAGUAACGAAGAGACAGGUAUGUCAGAUAUGACAGAUAUGGGAUAAGUGACAAAUGCGUGGAUGUGGAAUGCAUGGAUGUGGAUGGAAAAGGACAAGCAAGUGCAUCAGACAUGUAACAAGAGCACUCACCUAUCCAAGGCCUCAUCACUCAAACAAGUGUUUAGAAGCAGCAGUUUCAGAAGAUCUCAUUAAACGUGUUACCCUCUCAACUACUCAGCUUUCAAUCUCUUGCAACUUUAUUUUAAAUUGGCCAAUUCGCUACACUCCCUCACAAAAUAUAUAUUUGAAGUACAGGCUUUACAAACCAAAAUAGUGCCCAACACCUCCUUUCAGGCUUCCCUUGUGUCUAAAUCUCAAAACCAAACGCCAAACAAAACCCACCAAAGAAACACGCACUUCGCGGGCAGAGCCCUAGGCAGAGAAGCUUGUUCCCGCCUCUAGGUGGCAGGAGGGGCCUGUCACACUGCCUGGGGGCUUCUGCACCUUUUCUACCAUGUUUACCACUGCUUUAUUCUCAUGGGGCAGCCGGUUUUGCCUUUGUGUUUUCUUCUUUUUUAAAACCCAUUUUACCUUCAGACUAUGGCAUAGAGUUAGCUCUCUUUUUCUGAGAGCAGUCUGCCUGCAGCAACAGGUAGUGGACAGGAGGCUUCGACAUCAGUUCCACUCUGCUGCACAGUGCUGGGGGAAGAAGCAAAGACAAUGACCUGCUGAAGCUUGGACUUGAGCAGAAUCUUUCCCUCCAGCUCACCACAGGCUAUGGGCCUUGCAGGUGCUGCAGAAGACACCAGAAGCCAGGCAUCAAAGCUCUUGCAAGUAGAAUUCAGCAAGAAAGUUCUCCUAGCACAUGCUCCUGAAUUAUUUCCUUGUCUCUGCUCAAGGGGUGCUACUUUCCCAGACUGCUUUAUGUGGAGGGAAAACAUAUGAAGACUGCUUACCUUCCUCGCUCUUCUGAUACCGCUUCCAAUCAUAGCUUGAUGAUCUGGUGUCGUUAGAUGAUCUACCCUUGAAUGCUUCCACUGUGAAUUCAUCCAUAUAUUACUGAACCCACACUGUGUUAAUCUUCAAGAGUACACACCCUACGUAUUUGCAGAUGAGACGUUUGCAACACAGUACUUAAAAAUAGUUACCCACACUUUUCCCUGUGCUGCCCACCCCAAGCUCAGCUUGGAGUCCCCACAGUCCCCCCAGCCACAGCCCAGCACUCCUUCCACCCAUCCCAACCUUCACCUGGCCUCUGAAGCCAGGCUAUAGUCCAUGCUCAAUAGUGGAGAAGCCAGGUUAGCUGCGAAACUGAGACAUAAUGCAGUAAAUAACCAGUGGCCAAGUUGCCUGCCACCUUCAAUUUGGAAGCAUUAAAGCUGGAGCCCUUUCAAGGAAUCGGGUGUUACUUUCCUCACUACAGAUUUAGAACACUAGCCAAAGAAAUCCAGGUUCACUUUCUCCUGAGCGCACUGUCUCUAUUUCAUGGACCUGUGCCCUUGCUUAACUUCAUUCAUUCCAAAAUGAAGUUUAAGUAAGAUGAAGAGUGCUGUGCUUCUUCAUGCCAAUCAGACUGCAUUUCAGAUUCAGAAGCUAUGCAGUCUAGAAAACAAUAUAUUUCCAAAUGAAAAAAAAAAUCUGAUAAAAAGUUGACUUUAAAAAAGUAUCAAUAAAUGUAUGCAUUUCUCACUAGCCUUAAACUCUGCAUGAAGUGUUUGAUGAGCAGAUGAAGACAACAUCAUUUCUAGUUUCAGAAAUAAUAACAGCAUCAAAACCGCAGCUGUAACUCCACUGAGCUCACGUUAAGUUUUGAUGUCUGAAUAUCUGACAGAACUGACAUAAUGAGCACUGCAAGGAUAUCAGACAAGUCAAAAUGAAGACAGACAAAAGUAUUUUUUAAUAUAAAAAUGGUCUUUAUUUCUUCAAUACAAGGUAAACUACUAUUGCAGUUUAAGACCAACACAAAAGUUGGACAGCAAAUUGCUUAACAGUCUCCUAAAGGCUGAAAAAAAGGAACCCAUGAAAGCUAAAAGUUAUGCAGUAUUUCAAGUAUAACAUCUAAAAAUGAUGAAACGAUCCCUAAAGGUAGAGAUUAACUAAGAACUUCUGCUGAAAAUGUAUUAAAAUCCGCAGUUGCUAGGAUACCAUCUUACCUUGUUGAGAAAUACAGGUCUCCGGCAACACAACAUUCAGCAGACUCUUUGGCCUGCUGGAAUCAGGAAACUGCUUACUAUAUACACAUAUAAAAUCCUUUGGAGUUGGGCAUUCUGAGAGACAUCCAUUUCCUGACAUUUUGCAGUGCAACUCUGCAUUCCAACUCAGACAAGCUCCCAUGCUGUAUUUCAAAGCCAUUUCUUGAAUAGUUUACCCAGACAUCCUUGUGCAAAUUGGGAAUGAGGAAAUGCAAUGGUACAGGAAGACAAUACAGCCUUAUGUUUAGAAAGUCAGCAGCGCUGGUAAUCUUCAUAAAAAUGUAACUGUUUACCAAAUAGGAAUGUAUUUCACUUGUAAAACACCUGGUCCUUUUUAUAUUACUUUUUUUUUUUUUUUUAAGGACACCUGCACUAAUUUGCAAUCACUUGUAUUUAUAAAAGCACACGCACUCCUCAUUUUCUUACAUUUGAAGAUCAGCAGAAUGUCUCUUUCAUAAUGUAAUAAUCAUAUGCACAGUUUAAAAUAUUUUCUAUUACAAAAUACAGUACACAAGAGGGUGAGGCCAAAGUCUAUUACUUGAAUAUAUUCCAAAGUGUCAGCACUGGGGGUGUAAAAUUACAUUACAUGGUAUGAAUAGGCGGAAUUCUUUUACAACUGAAAUGCUCGAUUUCAUUGGGAUCAAAGGUAAGUACUGUUUACUAUCUUCAAGAGACUUCAAUCAAGUCAGUGUAUUUCCAAAGAAGCUUUAAAAGAUUGAAGCACAGACACAGGCCACACCAGAGCCUACACCUGCUGCAAUAAGUGGUGCUAUAGAAAGGAUUCAGGAACUAACAAGUGCAUAAUUUACAAAUAGAGAUGCUUUAUCAUACUUUGCCCAACA